This 489-nucleotide ribosomal RNA is filed under the name uncultured bacterium. RNAcentral describes it as "partial 16S ribosomal RNA". It matches the Rfam family "Bacterial small subunit ribosomal RNA", at positions 30 to 523 of the family's 1533-position model. The record is from RNAcentral.
AUUGAACGCUGGCGGCAGGCCUAACACAUGCAAGUCGAGCGGGGUUUUCGGACCUAGCGGCGGACGGGUGAGUAAUGCGUAGGAAGCUGCCCGAUAGAGGGGGAUACCAGUUGGAAACGACUGUUAAUACCGCAUAAUGUCUACGGACCAAAGUGUGGGACCUUCGGGCCACAUGCUAUCGGAUGCGCCUACGUGGGAUUAGGUAGUUGGUGUAGGUAAUGGCUCACCAAGGCGACGAUCUCUAGCUGGUUUGAGAGGAUGAUCAGCCACACUGGAACUGGGACACGGUCCAGACUCCUACGGGAGGCAGCAGUGGGGAAUAUUGGACAAUGGGCGCAAGCCUGAUCCAGCCAUGCCGCGUGUGUGAAGCAGGCCUUCGGGUUGUAAAGCACUUUCAGCGAGGAGGAAGGGCGGUGUGUUAAUAGCACAUCAUUUUGCCGUUACUCGCAGAAGAAGCACCGGCUAACUCUGUGCCAGCCGCCGCCGUAA